AAGUCGUAACAAGGUCUCCGUUGGUGAACCAGCGGAGGGAUCAUUACUGAGUUUAGCACUCAUCAACCCUGUGUAUCUACCUAUUUUGGCUCCUUCGGCAGGCGGUCCCAGGGCGGGACCGAGCCUUUGGGCACCUGCCGAAAGGGCAAACCAAUUGCUCUUUACUGUAUCAUCUGAGUUUAAUACUAAGAAAUCAAAAUUUUCAAUGGUGGAUCUCUUGGUUCUG
Molecule: unclassified non-coding RNA, 226 nt
Filed under: fungal sp.
Lineage: Eukaryota; Fungi
Description: partial internal transcribed spacer region
Rfam family: Eukaryotic small subunit ribosomal RNA (bases 1-46)
Source: RNAcentral